Micropterus dolomieu (smallmouth bass) is the source of this 264-nucleotide long non-coding RNA. RefSeq lists it as uncharacterized. NCBI's taxonomy places the organism in Eukaryota, Metazoa, Chordata, Actinopteri, Centrarchiformes, Centrarchidae. The transcript is spliced from 3 exons. The record is from RefSeq and is a predicted model, not a curated record.
GAUGACACCUAAACAGAUUGUGUAAUUACCUUUGCCCUGGUGGCCCUGGACUGCAACAGAGAUUUCCAAGUCCUAAAGCAGUUGUGCAGCGGAAGUAAAAACAGGUGGAUAUUACUUCUCACAGCUUCUUCAGGGUACUUUGGAAGAGGUGAGCUGCAGGGUAUAUCUUCUGAAGAUCCCCACCCUGGAUCCUGCAGCAAUUUCUGCCAAUAUGCGGGAGGACAGUGAUAAUGAAGAACAAAAUAAUAAACAUGUUAUACUCUC